RNAcentral lists this non-coding RNA (96 nucleotides) under Candidatus Paraburkholderia kirkii UZHbot1. RNAcentral's name for it is "Candidatus Burkholderia kirkii UZHbot1 ZMP/ZTP riboswitch aptamer (pfl RNA motif)". It matches the Rfam family "ZMP/ZTP riboswitch aptamer (pfl RNA motif)". From Rfam's summary of the family: Previously known as pfl RNA. ZMP is also known as AICAR. Lineage: Bacteria; Pseudomonadati; Pseudomonadota; Betaproteobacteria; Burkholderiales; Burkholderiaceae. The record is from Rfam by way of RNAcentral.
CAAACCCCACGUGACUGGCGAUAGAAUCUUCGGAUAGGUGGGGCAACCCAUCAGGAAGCGCGGAGCGUCGUUUUCCCGUUUGCCUGGGCAGCUAGC